This 201-nucleotide unclassified non-coding RNA is filed under the name uncultured Sebacinaceae. RNAcentral's name for it is "sequence contains ITS2". The record is from RNAcentral. Lineage: Eukaryota; Fungi; Basidiomycota; Agaricomycetes; Sebacinales; Sebacinaceae.
GUACUCUCACACUCCUGAUGCUUUUUGGAUCGCGAGUGGUGGACUUGGGUGUUGCUGCUUUACUGUGGCUCACCUCAAAUGGAGUAGUGCAACUCUUGGUUGGACAUAGUACGGCGUGAUAAGUGUCUUCGCCGGCGCCUCAUUAGAGGGUGGCUGAUCGGGAGCUCUGUGCUUCAAACCGUCUUCGGACAACAUCUGACA